AUUAGGUUUGCUCUUCCCCAUUCAAUAUUCAUCAUCACUUUCAUUUUUUUUUUCUCUUCGUCCCUUCCCAAAACCCUUUUUUUUCUCUGUUCUUUCGUUAUGGCGCAUCAAAUUUCCUUCCCAUUUCAUGUAAACCCAAAUGCAAACAAAGCAAGUGACCUCAUCUUUUCCUCUAAAUCUCGAAGCUGGGGCAACACUACCUUUCCUUUCUCCUUCGCCUGAUUCUUUCAAGAACACAAGCACUGCUAUUUCUAGAACCUGGCUUUGAAUCCUUCGAAGGUACAACCAUAGUACUUCUUUCGUGUUCGUUUGAGUCGUUGAACCAGCAGCAGUCUCUUCUCCUUAGCCUAACAGUCGAACAACCUGUAACAAUCUCCUAUUUCAACGGAGACGAUAUCAUCGAGGAACCCUUCUAGUUGAAAGCUAUGGAUGAGACUUGACUCCUUGAAGCGACGCUAUUGGCGAAUUGGUACCUGUCGGGAAUAGCAGAGGUGAUUAGAGUAUUCUUGAAAGAUAUUUUGAAUUUGUGUAUGUGUUAAAGUUGCAGUGUCUGUGUUGGGUUUAGUAAGUGUAUAGUAGAUUUGGUUAUGUUGAUUAUUUUGGACCUUUAUAUUUAAUUGUAUGACUAUUUUGGACUCUGGUUUA
This is a long non-coding RNA of Amaranthus tricolor (Joseph's coat), 645 nucleotides long. RefSeq lists it as uncharacterized. NCBI's taxonomy places the organism in Eukaryota, Viridiplantae, Streptophyta, Magnoliopsida, Caryophyllales, Amaranthaceae. The transcript has 3 exons. The record is from RefSeq and is a predicted model, not a curated record.